AUAAUGUAUCGACGGGAACCUGCGUCACUGCCAUGCUGCGGAUUCGGCAUUGCGGCGUCGGUCUCGUGGUCGAAGGGAAGCGAGCGGUCUUGCCAAUUUUUGCCAAAACCGGUACAGUCACUU
RNAcentral lists this small RNA (123 nucleotides) under Sinorhizobium meliloti 2011. Its description in RNAcentral is "putative ncRNA". The record is from RNAcentral. Lineage: Bacteria; Pseudomonadati; Pseudomonadota; Alphaproteobacteria; Hyphomicrobiales; Rhizobiaceae.